AGGGUUUAGGUUUCAGGGUUUAGG
RNAcentral lists this non-coding RNA (24 nucleotides) under Arabidopsis thaliana (thale cress). Lineage: Eukaryota; Viridiplantae; Streptophyta; Magnoliopsida; Brassicales; Brassicaceae. The record is from RNAcentral.